GCAAAAUAUGAGAAAACUUAUGGCCAAUGCUUAGAUUUGUUUACUUCCUUGAGGCGAAGUGGAGUUCUUGUUCACCAGUGGUGGUGAGUCAGUCUCUCCAUGGGUGUGUUUGUUCACAGGAUUCAUACGACUGGGAAUCAAAAUUACCUUUACAACCAUGUUUGCUUAUUCACGCAUGCAUCAAUAAAUCUUCAUCUGCCACUCUCCUUCUCGCACUCUGUAAACUGGUUAAGUUUGGAGCUGUAAUCGAAGGGAAAAACAACACGGUGGUUAUUGAUGGGAAAUUCAGACCUUCUAUCAUCG
This 303-nucleotide unclassified non-coding RNA is filed under the name Hevea brasiliensis (rubber tree). Lineage: Eukaryota; Viridiplantae; Streptophyta; Magnoliopsida; Malpighiales; Euphorbiaceae. The record is from RNAcentral.